This 752-nucleotide ribosomal RNA is filed under the name uncultured Nitrospirales bacterium. Its description in RNAcentral is "partial 16S ribosomal RNA". It matches the Rfam family "Bacterial small subunit ribosomal RNA", at positions 562 to 1316 of the family's 1533-position model. Lineage: Bacteria; Pseudomonadati; Nitrospirota; Nitrospiria; Nitrospirales. The record is from RNAcentral.
AAAGAGUCUGUAGGUGUUUGGUUAAGUCUUCGGUUAAAGCCCACCGCUUAACGGUGGAUCAGCCGAAGAAACUGGCCGAAUAGAGGUUGGGAGAGGUGAGCGGAAUUGCCGGUGUAGUAGUAAAAUGCGUUAAUAUCGGCAAGAACACCAAAGGCGAAGGCAGCUCACUAGAACACACCUGACACUGAGAGACGAAAGCGUGGGGAGCGAAUGGGAUUAGAUACCCCAGUAGUCCACGCCGUAGACUAUGGAUGCUAGGCAUCGGCAGUAUCGACCCUGUCGGUGUCGAUCAAACAAGGUAACCCCUUAAGCAUCCCGCCUGGGGAGUACGGCCGCAAGGCUAAAACUCAAAGGAAUUGACGGGAACCCGCACAAGCGGUGGAGCAUGUGGUUUAAUUCGACGCUAAGCGAAGAACCUUACCAAGGCUUGACAUACAAGCGUUCUAUUCCCGGGAAACCGGGGAAAUCCGCAAGGAGGCUUGCACAGGUGCUGCAUGGCUGUCGUCAGCUCGUGUCGUGAGAUGUUGGGUUAAGUCCUCUAACGAGCGCAACCCUCAUGCUGUGUUAAAUAUUCACAGCAAACCGCUCCGGUUAACGGAGAGGAAGGUGGGGAUGACGUCAAGUCAGCAUGGCCCUUAUGCCUUGGGCUACACACGUGCUACAAUGGGGUGCAACAAUGGGCCGCGAAACCGCGAGGUGGAGCCAAUCCCACCAAACCACCCCUCAGUUCGGAUUGCAGGCUGCAACUCGCC